GCGUAAUUUAGGCAUAUUACUAAGCGGAGGAAAAGAAACCAACGGGGAUUCCCAUAGUAACUGCGAGUGAAAGGGGAAAAGCCCAGCGCCGAAUCCUGCUGCUGGUGACGGUGGCAGGAACUGUGGCGUGAAGAAGGUGUCUAUCGGUGUGRCUUGCUCGCGUAAGUUCUCCUGAGUGAGGCUCCAUCCCAUGGAGGGUGCAAGGCCCGUGUCGUGAGCAGCCGUCACCGAUGCGCACUUUCAGAGAGUCGCCUUGUUUGCGAGUACAAGGUGAAGUCGGUGGUAAACUCCAUCGAAGGCUAAAUAUGACCACGAGUCCGAUAGCGAACAAGUACCGUGAGGGAAAAUUGAAAAGCACUUUGAAGAGAGAGCGAAACAGUGCGUGAAACCGCUCAGAGGUAAGCAGAUGGGGCCUCGAAGGCAGAGCGUCGAAUUCAGCCGGUUGUCCGUGCGGUUGGCUGGGAUUGGAGAGCGUAAGCCUCUGCCUAGCUGAUUGGUACGGCUGCCGGUGCACUUUCGGCGCUUGUACGCCACCGCCGUUGAGGAGCGUCCGUCGGACUGGCAUGUGGAGCCUUACUCUCGCAAGAGCGUAGGUGUCUCACGGCUAGUCUGUACGCGUUCGCACCUCAACCGGUCAAGUCAGCAUGUGCCAGCGUUUGCGCUGGGUCGGUCGGCUCCGGUCGGGCUGUAUGGAGAUGGCGAGCUUGCUCGACUCUUCUGCACYUGAUGGAAUCCGUGCUGGCUUUCAGCGUGGCACAUUGUAGAUUCGGUGGCGAGUAGACGGCUGCCC
RNAcentral lists this ribosomal RNA (790 nucleotides) under Tardigrada environmental sample. Its description in RNAcentral is "eukaryotic LSU rRNA". It matches the Rfam family "Eukaryotic large subunit ribosomal RNA", at positions 27 to 641 of the family's 3401-position model. Lineage: Eukaryota; Metazoa; Tardigrada. The record is from RNAcentral.